ACAACCGAAAUGGGUAGCAUCUAAUUAUUAUCAUUAUUUACAUCAAAAGCAUCAUAAGAGAUAAAUUGUCAUUAUACAAAAAUAUUACUUAAUAACACCAUUGUCCAGAUUAACAUUUAAAUCAAGCGAGAAUGACUUGGGCUGGAAUGGAUUAGGUUAAAAUGAACGGCUACAUAGCUUCCUCUUGGAAAUAGUUUUAACAGGAGAUAAUUCACAAAAUUGCUAAGGGACGCCGACAACCAUGCAUUUCAAACCGCAUUCAUCGUAUUAGUAACGUCACUGUAAUUACUUCUGUUACUAUAAUCACUUCAAUAUCAUUAAUAUCAAUCUAAUGACUACAAACCAUAAUUUAUUACCAUCACAGUCAAAUAAAACCCAACUUUAAACCAAUAAAAACCAAGACAAGAUGCAAACAAAAUUGGGAAGGAAAGCUGAGUUGUAAACAGGGGUACUACCAUUACCAAAUUCGAAGUCUGGCUUAAAACGCGAUGAUGCCGGCGGUGAGAAAGCGGAAGCACCAGCUUUUGGGUAUUGUUAUUGUGCUAUAAACCCAUAUCUUGGUGACAGUUGCUGUCGGCGGCAGUGAAGAAGGAACAAAUCCGCUAUUGUUCACUGCUGGGUUGGGUCGGUAUCCACCGAUGGAUUUGGAAGAGUUGUCUUGGAGGGUUGAAGGUGAACGAUUUGAGGGCGUGGUGAUGGUUGUAUGGAUCGGUGGUGGAAGGUUGAGUUUCAACGGUGGUAGUGAGGUCGCGAUUGGGGUUUCGGUGAUGAGUGGACGACGAAUCAAGGGUUAAUGAAGGAUGGGUGUGUAGUUAGCGAUGGUGGAGGGUUGAUUUAGGUGAAGAAGAUGAAGGUGUGAGGUGAGAUAGGGUUAGUGGAGACAGAGGAAGCGGUUGUAGGAGGGUUAUGGUUGAAGUGGGAUUUCGGCAGGGUAACGGUAUCUUUCCUCCUCCCUUUUUCAAUCGAUUUGAUCCCCCUUUUAUAGAGUGAAGUGAGUGGCAAAAUCCAUGAGCUGUCAAGGGAUCAUGAGAAUCAUUCCGUUGGAAGGAAAAUUCUCCUUAGAUUUUGUGGUCCCUGAAUGAGGUGCAUCCCAAUUCAAUGGUUGGCUCAAGGCAAAGCAGUGAGAUUUAGCAGGUUUUGUGUGAGGAUGCCAUCGUUUAUCAUUUUGUACUGUCGUUUACAACUUGGAAUGAAUGUGCUUUGCAUGGUUGAGUGGAUUAAAUUGAAGCUAGGAGUUGAUAUCUGUUUCAGGGCUAUUUACAGGUUCAUCCCAAGGCCUGAAAUUGAUCUUAAAUGCUGCAUUUGUUCAUGACUCGUUCUGUUGAUAUGCAAUGUGUUGUUCCAGGUCCAAAGUUUGGAAUUGUUUUAACCAUGCUACCGAUCAUGACUCAAAAAGGCAUUUGGCGUGUUUGUGGUAUGCAGGUACAAGGAUAAUUUAGAAAACCAUUUUCUCACUUGGAAGUAGCAUUAGAUCAAACACGUACCAUAGCCGUCGACAUACAUUAUCAAGCUUGGAGAUCAUUUCUUGUAAUACGAUCGGUCUGUUUGUGUAUAGGGCUUAAGUGUGGUUUGUGUUUUGGUGAGGUUGGGACGUCAUGUCGGUUUGGUUAUGCAAUUAGAGAAAUGGUUCUACAGGUGCUGCAUCGUGAGUAUGCAUGGUUCUUGAUACUAACCAAAUGGCCCUGCAAUGUAUUUCUAUCCUGCCAUGCGUUCGGUUAUUCGCGGCUGCCACUUUAGAGUUUUUUGAAGGAGUGUUGAUGCAUCAACGGCAAUGUUGGUUAACAGGGUAGUUAGCUCAAGUUAAAGACACAGUUGCAGGUUAUAAGUCGGUUGUGAUCUACCUUUUCAGAACAAUCGGUAAGGUUGUACAUACCACAAGUAACACAAUUUUAGCAAUGUACGUUUCCUGUUCGUACUUGGAACUGCUGUGAGUUAUGAUUUGACCAGGACCACUUUGUUGCAGGUUCUUUUAAAACUUGUAGCUUUCCAUAUGCUUUUGUGCACUUUUAUCCUUGCGCACCUGUAUUCACACUCACAUUGUCGGCAUGGCGCUGCUAGCUCUUGGAUCUAUAGGUCACCGCAUGACACGGGAGCGAAUCUGUCAUAACGUCCUUGGAAACCAAUGCAAUGAGGAACCUGAGAAACUGUCACGGCCAGCUGAUGGAUUAUUUUAGCUUUAGAAUCUUAUUUCUUUCCUUUGUCUGGGUUGUAACAUUAGCGCAUCACGGUUUGAAACGCAUAUGUGUCGGUCGAUCUUGAAACAACUGAUUUGUAUGCCGUAGUGUUAGUUUGAAAAAUGAAAAAAUGUAAUUUUAAUGUGUGAACAUGUUUUGCCAAUAUACUGCACUUGCAGUUUCAAACAUAAACCAUGCAGUUUCAAACAUAAACCAUAAUAAGCCAAGGGUCUUGUGGCAGAAUAACAAUAGGAUGUGGGGUUCUUGUAUUUA
Molecule: long non-coding RNA, 2447 nt
Organism: Lathyrus oleraceus (garden pea)
Lineage: Eukaryota; Viridiplantae; Streptophyta; Magnoliopsida; Fabales; Fabaceae
Exons: 4
Source: RefSeq, a predicted model, not a curated record